AUUGAACGCUGGCGGCAGGCCUAACACAUGCAAGUCGAGCGGUAGCACAGAGAGCUUGCUCUCGGGUGACGAGCGGCGGACGGGUGAGUAAUGUCUGGGAAACUGCCUGAUGGAGGGGGAUAACUACUGGAAACGGUAGCUAAUACCGCAUAACGUCGCAAGACCAAAGUGGGGGACCUUCGGGCCUCAUGCCAUCAGAUGUGCCCAGAUGGGAUUAGCUAGUAGGUGGGGUAACGGCUCACCUAGGCGACGAUCCCUAGCUGGUCUGAGAGGAUGACCAGCCACACUGGAACUGAGACACGGUCCAGACUCCUACGGGAGGCAGCAGUGGGGAAUAUUGCACAAUGGGUGCAAGCCUGAUGCAGCCAUGCCGCGUGUAUGAAGAAGGCCUUCGGGUUGUAAAGUACUUUCAGCGGGGAGGAAGGCGAUAAGGUUAAUAACCUUGUCGAUUGACGUUACCCGCAGAAGAAGCACCGGCUAACUCCGUGCCAGCAGCCGCGGUAG
This 504-nucleotide ribosomal RNA is filed under the name uncultured bacterium. RNAcentral's name for it is "partial 16S ribosomal RNA". It matches the Rfam family "Bacterial small subunit ribosomal RNA", at positions 30 to 523 of the family's 1533-position model. The record is from RNAcentral.